Molecule: ribosomal RNA, 497 nt
Filed under: uncultured bacterium
Lineage: Bacteria
Description: partial 16S ribosomal RNA
Rfam family: Bacterial small subunit ribosomal RNA
Source: RNAcentral
GAUGAACGCUGGCGGCGUGCCUAAUACAUGCAAGUCGAGCGAACAGACGAGGAGCUUGCUCCUCUGACGUUAGCGGCGGACGGGUGAGUAACACGUGGAUAACCUACCUAUAAGACUGGGAUAACUUCGGGAAACCGGAGCUAAUACCGGAUAAUAUAUUGAACCGCAUGGUUCAAUAGUGAAAGACGGUUUUGCUGUCACUUAUAGAUGGAUCCGCGCCGCAUUAGCUAGUUGGUAAGGUAACGGCUUACCAAGGCAACGAUGCGUAGCCGACCUGAGAGGGUGAGCGGCCACACUGGAACAGAGACACGGUCCAGACUCCUACGGGAGGCAGCAGUAGGGAAGCUUCCGCAAUGGGCGAAAGCCUGACGGAGCAACGCCGCGUGAGUGAUGAAGGUCUUCGGAUCGUAAAACUCUGUUAUUAGGGAAGAACAAAAGUGUAAGUAACUAUGCACGUCUUGACGGUACCUAAUCAGAAAGCCACGGCUAACUACGUG